CGGCCCACCGUGGCGACGAUGCGUAGGGGUUCUGAGAGGAAGGUCCCCCACACUGGUACUGAGACACGGACCAGACUCCUACGGGAGGCAGCAGUGAGGAAUAUUGGUCAAUGGGAGAGAUCCUGAACCAGCCAAGCCGCGUGAGGGAAGACGGCCCUAUGGGUUGUAAACCUCUUUUGUCGGAGAACAAAACCCGGGACGAGUCCCGGACUGCGUGUAUCCGAAGAAAAAGCAUCGGCUAACUCCGUGCCAGCAGCCGCGGUAAUACGGAGGAUGCGAGCGUUAUCCGGAUUUAUUGGGUUUAAAGGGUGCGUAGGCGGUCCGUUAAGUCAGCGGUAAAAUUGCGGGGCUCAACCCCGUCGAGCCGUUGAAACUGGCAGACUUGAGUUGGCGAGAAGUACGCGGAAUGCGCGGUGUAGCGGUGAAAUGCAUAGAUAUCGCGCAGAACUCCGAUUGCGAAGGCAGCGUACCGGCGCCACACUGACGCUGAGGCACGAAAGCGUGGGGAUCGAACAGGAUUAGAUACCCUGGUAGUCCACGCAGUAAACGAUGAAUGCUGGUUGUCCGGGUCGAAUGAGAUCUGG
RNAcentral lists this ribosomal RNA (584 nucleotides) under uncultured bacterium. RNAcentral describes it as "bacterial SSU rRNA". It matches the Rfam family "Bacterial small subunit ribosomal RNA", at positions 261 to 842 of the family's 1533-position model. The record is from RNAcentral.